Panicum virgatum (switchgrass) is the source of this 76-nucleotide small nucleolar RNA. RefSeq annotates it as small nucleolar RNA R160. The record is from RefSeq and is a predicted model, not a curated record. The transcript has a single exon. NCBI's taxonomy places the organism in Eukaryota, Viridiplantae, Streptophyta, Magnoliopsida, Poales, Poaceae.
AGUAAUGAGGAGGCUGUAUUAUCUGAAGUAUCUAAUUUGUUACAUUAUUCAUGGUCUUAAAAGUUCUCUGAUUGUU